This 201-nucleotide long non-coding RNA is filed under the name Olea europaea subsp. europaea. Lineage: Eukaryota; Viridiplantae; Streptophyta; Magnoliopsida; Lamiales; Oleaceae. The record is from RNAcentral.
AACGAACCGAUACUCGAUUAGAAAACUAGUAGACUGAUACACAGACUUGAAAGUUUACAUUAUCAAAUCUGCUUCUAAUUAGUGUCACAACCAUCUGGUAAAUAUUUGAUCAACCACAAAUGAUGCGGUCCACAUUUUUUCGCCUAAAUCUUGACACUGUCGUUACAUAUUCUUAAUUAAAUACAGUUUCUUCAUUCUGAC